RNAcentral lists this ribosomal RNA (253 nucleotides) under uncultured bacterium. RNAcentral's name for it is "partial 16S ribosomal RNA". It matches the Rfam family "Bacterial small subunit ribosomal RNA", at positions 524 to 776 of the family's 1533-position model. The record is from RNAcentral.
UACAGAGGGUGCGAGCGUUAAUCGGAAUUACUGGGCGUAAAGCGCGCGUAGGCGGCUUUGCAAGUCGGGUGUGAAAUCCCCAGGCUUAACCUGGGAACUGCAUUCGAGACUGCAUUGCUAGAGUAUGGGAGAGGGAAGUGGAAUUCCUGGUGUAGCGGUGAAAUGCGCAGAUAUCAGGAAGAACACCUAUGGCGAAGGCAGCACUCUGGGACGGUACUGACGCUGAGACGCGAAAGCGUGGGGAGCGAACAGG